AAUGUGGAAUUCGCCCUUUUCCGGUUGAUCCUGCCGGACCUGACUGCUAUCGGAUUGAUACUAAGCCAUGCGAGUCUUUGCAGUAAUGCAAGGCAGACGGCUCAGUAACACGUAGUCAACUUACCCUAUGGACGAGGAUAAUCUCGGGAAACUGAGCAUAAUACUCGAUAGAUCAUAAUGCCUGGAAUGGUUUAUGAUUAAAAUGAUUCGUCGCCAUAGGAUGGGACUGCGGCCUAUCAGCUUGUUGGUGAGGUAAUGGCCCACCAAGGCGAUUACAGGUACGGGCUCUGAGAGGAGAAGCCCGGAGAUGGGUACUGAGACAAGGACCCAGGCCCUAUGGGGCGCAGCAGGCGAGAAAACUUUGCAAUGUGCGAAAGCACGACAAGGUUAAUCCGAGUGAUUUCUGCUAAAGAAAUCUUUUGCAAGUCAUAAAACCACUAGUGAAUAAGGGGUGGGCAAGUUCUGGUGUCAGCCGCCGCGGUAAAACCAGCACCUCAAGUGGUCAGGAGGAUUAUUGGGCCUAAAGCAUCCGUAGCCGGCUCUGUAAGUUUUCGGUUAAAUCCAUGUGCUCAACGCAUGGGCUGCCGAAAAUACUGCAUAGCUAGGGAGUGGGAGAGGUAGACGGUACUCAGUAGGAAGGGGUAAAAUCCUUUGAUCUAUUGAUGACCACCUGUGGCGAAGGCGGUCUACCAGAACACGUUCGACGGUGAGGGAUGAAAGCUGGGGGAGCAAACCGGAUUAGAUACCCGGGUAGUCCCAGCUGUAAACGAUGCAGACUCGAUGAUGCAUUGGCAUAUAGCCAGUGCAGUGUCGCAGGGAAGCCGUUAAGUCUGCCGCCUGGGAAGUACGUACGCAAGUAUGAAACUUAAAGGAAUUGGCGGGGGAGCACCACAAGGGGUGAAGCCUGCGGUUCAAUUGGAUUCAACGCCGGA
Molecule: ribosomal RNA, 932 nt
Filed under: uncultured archaeon
Lineage: Archaea
Description: bacterial SSU rRNA
Rfam family: Archaeal small subunit ribosomal RNA
Source: RNAcentral